GGUUUAAGUGGGAAAAAUAGGACACUGAAAUUUUUUAGUGUUAUUAUCUUCCUUAAAGACUUAAAUUUAAGUGGUUUACCGCCACUGUGUGACACUGGCAUGUCUAGCUCACUUUUUCAUUCUCUGUUCGCUCGGUCUUGGCCUCUUUUCCCUCUCUCUCUCUCCUCCGCUGCUGCUGCUGCUGUUUAUUACUCGGCGAUUCGUGUGUGUUACCCGCCACUGACAAACGAAAGCAAAAGAGAUAUCUAUUUUUUUUCUGCUUCAAAAUGAGUUAUUUUAUUUUUUUUCAAAAAUUAUGAGCUGAGGGAUGAACAAGAAUGAGGGAGGAGAAAAAGAAAUGAUACAAAUACGAGGGGGAUGGAGGGUACUAUUGGACUUACAGAUUUUAGCCAGAGUUAUUUCCCAGGGAACAUCUCAUAUUUCUCCGAAAGGCUAGAAAAGGCUACGGCAGCAGAGGCAGCGUCCUCAAAACACAAAACGGCCGUUGAUUUGAAUCUAAAUUUGAAUCUAAACUUUAUAGAACUAACAGAAGGUUUAAAAGAAGGAUACGAAAGUGAAAGCUACCAAAGUGAUGUGUACAUCAAGCAAAAUUUUUUAUUGAAUCAGGAAUACGAUGAAGUGAAAUUACCGGUUUCAGAACCAGUUGUUUAUAACCCCUUUUAAUCGAACACGUUCCAACAAAAAUAAUACAUUACUACACUUUAUAUAUGUACAUUUACUAAUACUUUACAUACACAUCAUAACAGCCGCUUCAGUGUCGAGGCAAAAGGCCGCCAUCGAGAGACUCUACACCUGGAGUGACUUUUGUCGGACUAUUUAUCAACGGGAUUCAUGGGUUCAGCCAUACAUGGGAGGGUAUCAAGAACCGACCCCAGAACUUUUCCAAUUGAAUCUCAAUCUAGUAGCGAUGAAGACUGGGGUGAACCUUCCGAUUCUUCUGGGUCGAAAAAUUCGCGUUCAAGAAAAGAAGCAAAACAAAACGCGGACCGAGUGUUUAGACCAG
Molecule: long non-coding RNA, 1003 nt
Organism: Daphnia pulex (common water flea)
Lineage: Eukaryota; Metazoa; Arthropoda; Branchiopoda; Diplostraca; Daphniidae
Exons: 2
Source: RefSeq, a predicted model, not a curated record